CCCUUAGAUGUCCUGGGCCGCACGCGCGUUACACUGAUGCAUUCAACGAGCAUAUAACCUUGGCCGAGAGGCCUGGGUAAUCUUGUUAACAUGCAUCGUGAUAGGGAUAGAUUAUUGCAAUUAUUAAUCUUGAACGAGGAAUUCCUAGUAAUCGCAGUUCAUCAAACUGCAAUGAUUACGUCCCUGCCCUUUGUACACACCGCCCGUCGCACCUACCGAUUGAAUGUUUCGGUGAAGAUUCCGGACCGUGGCGAGCGCGCUUCACGGCGCUCUUGCCGUGGGAAGUUAUCUAAACCUCAACAUUUAGAGGAAGGUGAAGUCGUAACA
This 327-nucleotide ribosomal RNA is filed under the name uncultured eukaryote. RNAcentral's name for it is "partial 18S ribosomal RNA". It matches the Rfam family "Eukaryotic small subunit ribosomal RNA", at positions 1470 to 1796 of the family's 1831-position model. The record is from RNAcentral.